RNAcentral lists this long non-coding RNA (1632 nucleotides) under Homo sapiens (human). RNAcentral's name for it is "long intergenic non-protein coding RNA 963". Lineage: Eukaryota; Metazoa; Chordata; Mammalia; Primates; Hominidae. The record is from RNAcentral.
GAACUUCGGUUCCUCAUCUGCCAGUUGGCAGACGCUCAGCAAAUCUUCCUAGACUCACGGGGCGAAUUGUACAGUUGGGUAAAUCGAGGCCCAGAGAUGGCAAAAGGACCGUCCAAGGUCGUACAGCCACCCGGAAUUACAAUUCUUUUCUGCCGGGUCACACGCUGUCAUCCACGUGUUACCUAAGAGAGCUUUCCAGCCUGUGCUAAGAAAACUGCCCCACAUCAUCUGCAGUAGGACGGGGGAGUUGGAGCCCUGGUCAGGCCACUCUGCUACUGACCACAGUUUUCUCAUCUCUAAAAAGGCGCAGUAACAAUAUAAUUACCGUAUGCAGUCCCCCAGGAUACAGGGUCAAAGGAGAGCACAACCAUCGCAGUUGGAAGCCCAUGGGGCAGACCCAGACUUCACCCUCAGGUCACCCUCACCUGGACUUUGGGGUGCCCCACACCCCGCCCCAGGCCCUGGCCUCUGGAAUAUUUGGAAACUUGAACUGGGCCAGAGGCUUAAGCUCACAUCUGUCUGGAGCCUCAACUUUCUCCUCUGUAAAAUGGGCUAACACUGAAAGAACCUUGCAGAAUCUCAGCAACGUCACAGAGGACAUUGUUAGCACAGCCAGCGGGCUCCUGCUGGGCUGAGUUUGUGGGUAAUCCAAGCCUCGGCAGGUACAGUUCCUCCCUCAGAAGCAAGGUCUCGCUGUGUUACCCUGGCUGGAGUGCAGUGGCUACUUACAGGCAUGAUCAUAGCAUACUGCAGCCUCGAACUCCUGGACUAGAGCAGUUCUCCUGCCUCAGCCUCCAGAGCAGCUGGGACUGCAGACACGCACCACAGAGCCCAGCCUGAGUCAUUUUGAUUCUGUAACUGGCUUCCUCUCGGCGGGCAGGCUCACACCCUCCACCCCCAGCUGGAGAUGGAAGGAGGAUGCUCACCGCCCAUUCCUCAUGCAGGCCAUCGAUGGAAAUGUCAGACAGUGCGAGUCCACGCCUGAACACUUCUGGGGUCCGCUCUGGGACUGACACUGGCAGAUCCAUCGGUGAGCUCCCGCCUGCCACCUCUGGGCCUGCAUUGCGGUGAUAGGGCCAAGGGCCUGGGCCUUCAAUUCUCCAGACUUGCCAAAAUGCUCAGCGCAGGCCUCGUCGGCAACUGCAGACAAGCAGAGGCAGCACCUGGGCUCUGCCUGUGCCUGGCACAGUGAAGCGAGGGUGGGGGCAGGAAUGAGGGUCCUCUCCAUGCAAGGGGGGAAGAUAGAAGAACAAAAUUUCACCCUAAUGUAGUGUCUUUAGACCGUGCAAUGUUGUGCUCCUGUUAGUCUGAUAUCAGGGGCUUGCAGCCUGGCAAAGGAAAAAAAACAGGCUGAGGCACAUGAUAGAAGACAGGCAGGGAUGCCACAAUCAUAACCAUGGCAAAGACCAGGAUCAGAAAGGCCCACCAUCUCUGACCCCAAAUCCCUGGGCAGAUGGUUCCAGAACUCAGAAUUUUCCCAGUUGUAGAAAGAUGGGGCCAGGUGCAGUGGCUCACGCCUGUAAUCCCAGCAUUUUGGGAGUACAAGGUGGGCGGAUCACCUGAGGUCAGGAGUUCGAGACCAGCCUGGCCAACAUGGUGAAACCCUGUCUCUACUAAAAAAAAAAAAAAAAA